AUGACUGACUUUUUUUCAUGUAAUUUUAGAAAAAAAAAACAAAGGCUAAAUUUUGUUGUUUUCAUCUUCAGACUAAUGAAAUUGAAGUAUCCAAAUGAAGACCCUAGCAGUAUGGAGUAUAUGGAUACAGACGUUGCCAGCAGUCAGGAGGUGAUCCAGAAGACUCCUGGGAAUCUAUUUGAAGCUGCAUCAUUGAAGACAGUCCAGCAGAAGUUGGAGUUUUAAAGGAUACAGUUCUUCAGGACCUAUAGCAGUUUACAGUCUGUAAAACCAUGUUGCUGGGACUGAUUUAUGGACUGAACUUGAGCAACCCUCCUGAAUUCAGGUACACAUUUGGAAUACUGAAGAAGUUAUUUCUGGAGCCAGUUUCUGUUCCUGGAAUAAGGUUUGAUUGGUUACCCAUGAAUGCCAAUUAGAAUUGUAUUUGCUAUUUUGUGUAAUUUUGUAAUGUGGUUUAAACUGUAUUUUACUGUGUGUAAUUAUUUAUUGCUUGUUUAACAAAUACACUUUGAUCAUUUGUGACAUCUUGUCUUUUGUCUCAUUACAAGACAAAACAUACAAAAAAUGCUUUGUUGAAGGGAGUAACUUCAAAAAGAAAAUAUUGUGUUAAAGUAACUAGAACUAAUUGUGUGGAACCACUGUCCAUAAUUGAAAUGAGUAAUUUGAAACAAACCUCCUUAUGUUGAUAGAGUGAAACAAAUUUGGCUAGAUUGUAAUAAACCAAAACAUGUUGAGUUAACUUAACCAGUUUAAGUUGAAGCAAAGUCAAUAAAUUGAGUUGGUUGAACAUUACUAUUUCACAUAGAUUCUACCUCAUUCAGUUGUGUUGUCACAACACAAGGAGUUUGCAUAGAUUCAAAAAAUUCCAUUAAUGUUAUCAAAACACAAUUUGGUUGUGUGGAACCACUGUCCAUAAUUGACUUAAGUAAGUUUAAAGAGUCAUUUUUUUGAGUGUACUUUUUUCAGGAUUCUUUGAUGAAUAAAAAGUUAAAAUUAAAUAAAUAAACUUGAGUAAAAGUACAGAUACGUAUAAUAAAAUAUUACUCCAGUAAAAGUAAAAGUACUCCUUUUUCAAUUUUACUCAAGUGAAAGUACAAAAGUACUCAAUUUUUUAUGUACUUAAGUAAAA
Molecule: long non-coding RNA, 1129 nt
Filed under: Carassius auratus (goldfish)
Lineage: Eukaryota; Metazoa; Chordata; Actinopteri; Cypriniformes; Cyprinidae
Description: lncRNA (ENSCARG00000025846.1)
Source: RNAcentral